CACCCGUCUUUUGAAAUACAGAGUUUACAGUCCCUCAUAGCUUAAUGCAAUUGUGGCAACAACGCCCCACUAAAACCCUAAAGAACAUUUUCUUUAGAAAUCUUGUCCAAUUGCUGAAAUUCACUCAACCACAGCCAAUAAAUCACCAGCUUUGCAAAAGCAGUGACUAGCAUCCGUUCCCAAAUCAACCUCAUAGGCAUUUAUGUCUGAGAAAAGAACCUUCUU
RNAcentral lists this unclassified non-coding RNA (225 nucleotides) under Hevea brasiliensis (rubber tree). Lineage: Eukaryota; Viridiplantae; Streptophyta; Magnoliopsida; Malpighiales; Euphorbiaceae. The record is from RNAcentral.